RNAcentral lists this unclassified non-coding RNA (180 nucleotides) under Oryza sativa (Asian cultivated rice). RNAcentral describes it as "partial microRNA MIR446g-1 precursor". The record is from RNAcentral. Lineage: Eukaryota; Viridiplantae; Streptophyta; Magnoliopsida; Poales; Poaceae.
CUAAAAAAUAACUAAUUGCACAGAUUGCGACUACUUUGCGAGGUUAAUCUUUUAAGCCUAAUUGCUCCAUGAUUUGAUAAUGUGAUACUACAGUAAAUAUUUGCUAAUGAUUGAUUAACUAGGCUUAAUAAAUUCGUCUCGCGGUUUAUUGACGAAUAUUGUAAUUAGUUUUUUUGUUUA